Molecule: ribosomal RNA, 301 nt
Filed under: uncultured Desulfurococcus sp.
Lineage: Archaea; Thermoproteati; Thermoproteota; Thermoprotei; Desulfurococcales; Desulfurococcaceae
Description: partial 16S ribosomal RNA
Rfam family: Bacterial small subunit ribosomal RNA
Source: RNAcentral
CGGCGAAGGUCGGGCGAGCAGGGGCGGUAAGACGGAGGGGGCAGUCGGUGUGCGGAAGUAUUGGGCGGAAAGCGCGCGCAGGCGGCUUCUUAAGUCCAUCUUAAAAGUGCGGGGCUUAACCCCGUGAUGGGAUGGAAACUGGGAGGCUGGAGUAUCGGAGAGGAAAGUGGAAUUCCUAGUGUAGCGGUGAAAUGCGUAGAGAUUAGGAAGAACACCGGUGGCGAAGGCGACUUUCUGGACGACAACUGACGCUGAGGCGCGAAAGCGUGGGGAGCAAACAGGAUUAGAUAUCCUGGUAGUC